UCAGUUUUAUUAAUAAUAUACUUUUAUUUUUUUGGUACCAGUACUGGUUUUAUUUUGUUGUAUUUAUCCGUGACACCUUAAAGGCCGGUCCGUGAAAAUAUUGUUGGACAUAAACUGAUCUGUGGCGCAAAAGAGGUUGGGGACCGCUGUCCAAAAGGACAUCUGAAAACUAAAAUGACAAUCUUAUCAAACCAGAAUAAGUAAACUACUCAUCAGAAAAGUAAACCCAAGAUUUCUGUUAGCAAGAAAUAAUCAGUAAAGGAACACUCAAAAAAAUCAGCUAGGGCAUGUGUUUGAUUAGCAAAGCAGUAAUAUGUUUACAUUACAUGAAGAAAUCAUUUUUAUGGGUAUUAAAUGAUUCAUUCUUUUUUGUUGAAUAUGAGUCAAAGAAAAUUCUGAUGAGUUAAAUUCAUUCAUGGAAAUCCAAUGAGAAUGAGGUAAUCAAACCAACGACUCAGAUAGUGUCAUGCAUUGCGCAUGCUCUACGCCCACCUGAUGCGGAAGAGUCCGUUGAGACAUUAACGAGCGCACGUGGAGUCACUCCUUUGGUAUACUGGACAGUAAGAAAUACAUCACAAAAUAAAGCCACAUUCCCAUGCUCUGAGAUUCUUACACCUCCUCAACAAUACAUGAUUGACAAGGAAUUCCUGCGCAUAUUGACAGUACCGCUCCUAUCUACAUUCUUUUCUGAGCUAGAUGAUGGAGAUCUUUAGAGGCAAAGGUGGAGGGCUGGAAGAAAAAUGAGACACAUCAUGGGGACCAUCUUCAAGGAUGACACAAUACUUACAAGACGAGCAUCCGUCCUGAAGUCCCUGUGUGACUACGAGACUGCGACAAACUUGUGAAGGAAUAUACGAGAACACUGAGGCCAACACUGAAGCCAUGGAACAAACUGUGAUGGGAGUGUAUGUUCUACAGCAGGAGGGUGUGGAGCCUGGAGAUGACCCAGAGAACAUCGGUGGCCUGAUUGAAGGUGUGGAGAUUCUCACUGGUUUGAGGAGCAUUGCAAUUGCUUGUGCUUUUGUUAUUUGGACUGAUAUACUGUCUGAACCUAAGCUACCCACCGGAGCUCAAAUGCACUUUUGAAGUCUUGCAAAAGAUUAUCAUGAAGCUGGAUGGGCAGAGGUUUCAGAUUCAGGGAAGCCAUAUAUUUUUCCAUAUUUCUGCAAUGCAAAUUUGUUUACCUUUUAAAGUUCAAAAUUGUAAGUUAUAAAAUGUUCAUAAGGACUAUGUGGUUUGCUCAGUGGACAUUAGACAAAGAUUGUUAGUUCAUAAGUUAAAGUCUCAUACACUUGCACUUUAAACACUGAUUUGUGCAAGAUGGGCAAUUGUUACAAAGGAAAAUGUACCGACAGGUUUUCACAAAUUGUUUGAGUGGAGCAGUUGUUCUCAAACUUAUUAAAUGUUUUCUCCACACGUUAAAUAGACUAAAGUUACCAUUAGAGCUGGGCGAUAAAACGAUAACGAUGUGUGUUGCGAAAUA
Molecule: long non-coding RNA, 1483 nt
Organism: Oreochromis niloticus (Nile tilapia)
Lineage: Eukaryota; Metazoa; Chordata; Actinopteri; Cichliformes; Cichlidae
Exons: 5
Source: RefSeq, a predicted model, not a curated record